GACGAACGCUGGCGGCGUGCUUAACACAUGCAAGUCGAACGGAAAGGCCCUGCUUUUGUGGGGUGCUCGAGUGGCGAACAGGUGAGUAACACGUGAGUAACCUGCCCUUGACUUUGGGAUAACUUCAGGAAACUGGGGCUAAUACCGGAUAGGAGCUCCUGCUGCAUGGUGGGGGUUGGAAAGUUUCGGCGGUUGGGGAUGGACUCGCGGCUUAUCAGCUUGUUGGUGGGGUAGUGGCUUACCAAGGCUUUGACGGGUAGCCGGCCUGAGAGGGUGACCGGCCCCAUGGGGGCUGAGAGCCGGCCGAGCCCCGUACGGGGGGGAGCGGUGGGGAAGAUUGCCAAAGGGGCGGAAGCCUGAUGCAGGAACCCCGGGGGGGGGAAGACGGCCUUCGGGUUGUAACCCGCUUUCGCCUGUGACGAGGCGUGAGUGAGGGUAAUGGGGAAAAAAGCACCGGCUAACUACGG
RNAcentral lists this ribosomal RNA (467 nucleotides) under uncultured bacterium. RNAcentral's name for it is "partial 16S ribosomal RNA". It matches the Rfam family "Bacterial small subunit ribosomal RNA", at positions 28 to 506 of the family's 1533-position model. The record is from RNAcentral.